GAUGAACGCUGGCGGCGUGCCUAAUACAUGCAAGUCGAACGAAACUUCUUUAUCACCGAGUGCUUGCACUCACCGAUAAAGAGUUGAGUGGCGAACGGGUGAGUAACACGUGGGCAACCUGUCCAAAAGAGGGGGAUAACACUUGGAAACAGGUGCUAAUACCGCAUAACCAUAGUUACCGCAUGGUAACUAUGUAAAAGGUGGCUAUACUACCGCUUUUGGAUGGGCCCGCGGCGCAUUAGCUAGUUGGUAGGGUAAAGGCUUACCAAGGCAAUGAUGCGUAGCCGAAUUGAGAGGUUGAUCGGCCACAUUGGGACUGAGACACGGCCCAAACUCCUACGGGAGGCAGCAGUAGGGAAUCUUCCACAAUGGGCGAAAGCCUGAUGGAGCAACGCCGCGUGGGUGAAGAAGGUCUUCGGAUCGUAAAACCCUGUUGUUAGAGAAGAAAGUGCGUGAGAGUAACUGUUCACGUUUCGACGGUAUCUAACCGGAAAGCCACGGCUAACUACGUG
RNAcentral lists this ribosomal RNA (512 nucleotides) under uncultured bacterium. RNAcentral describes it as "partial 16S ribosomal RNA". It matches the Rfam family "Bacterial small subunit ribosomal RNA", at positions 28 to 507 of the family's 1533-position model. The record is from RNAcentral.